Molecule: ribosomal RNA, 508 nt
Filed under: uncultured bacterium
Lineage: Bacteria
Description: bacterial SSU rRNA
Rfam family: Bacterial small subunit ribosomal RNA
Source: RNAcentral
GAUGAACGCUAGCUACAGGCUUAACACAUGCAAGUCGAGGGGCAGCAUAACGAAAGCUUGCUUUGUUGAUGGCGACCGGCGCACGGGUGAGUAACGUGUAUCCAACCUUCCCCAUAGUAGAGGAUAGCCCGGCGAAAGUCGGAUUAAUACUCUAUGUUGUAUUUUGAGGACAUCUGACGAAUACCAAAGAUUGAUCGCUAUGGGAUGGGGAUGCGUCUGAUUAGCUUGUUGGCGGGGUAACGGCCCACCUGGCCUACGAUCAGUAGGGGUUCUGCGAGGAAGGUCCCCCACACUGGUACUGAGACACGGACCAGACUCCUACGGGAGGCAGCAGUGAGGAAUAUUGGUCAAUGGGCGCGAGCCUGAACCAGCCAAGUAGCGUGCAGGAAGACUGCCCUAUGGGUUGUAAACUGCUUUUAUGCGGGGAUAAAGUGUGGCACGCGUGCCUUUUUGCAUGUACCGCAUGAAUAAGGACCGGCUAAUUCCGUGCCAGCAGCCGCCGUAAGAC